GGAAAUUGACGGGGCCCGCACAAGCGGUGGAGCAUGUGGUUUAAUCGAUGCAACGCGAAGAACCUUACCUGGGCUUGACAUCCCGAGAAUCCCCUGGAAACAGGGGAGUGCCCUUCGGGGAGCUCGGAGACAGGUGCUGCAUGGCUGUCGUCAGCUCGUGUCGUGAGAUGUUGGGUUAAGUCCCGCAACGAGCGCAACCCUUGUCUUUAAUUGCCAUCAUUGAGUUGGGCACUUUAAAGAGACUGCCGGUGUUAAACCGGAGGAAGGUGGGAUGACGUCAAGUCAGCAUGGCCUUUAUGUCCAGGGCUACACACGUGCUACAAUGGUUGGUACAAAGGGUUGCCAAGCCGUGAGGCGGAGCCAAUCUCAAAAAGCCAACCUCAGUUCGGAUUGCAGUCUGCAACUCGACUGCAUGAAGUUGGAAUCGCUAGUAAUCGCUGAUCAGCAGGCAGCGGUCGAAUACGUUCCCGGGCCUU
Molecule: ribosomal RNA, 476 nt
Filed under: uncultured Syntrophus sp.
Lineage: Bacteria; Pseudomonadati; Thermodesulfobacteriota; Syntrophia; Syntrophales; Syntrophaceae
Description: bacterial SSU rRNA
Rfam family: Bacterial small subunit ribosomal RNA
Source: RNAcentral